GACGAACGCUGGCGGCGUGCCUAAUACAUGCAAGUCGAACGCACGAAGUUGAAGAGCUUGCUCUUUAACCAAUUGAGUGGCGGACGGGUGAGUAACGCGUGGGUAACCUGCCCAUUAGAGGGGGAUAACAUUCGGAAACGGAUGCUAAUACCGCAUAGUUUCAGGGAUCGCAUGAUUCUUGAAGGAAAGGUGGCUCCGGCUACCACUAAUGGAUGGACCCGCGGCGUAUUAGCUAGUUGGUGAGGUAAUGGCUCACCAAGGCAAUGAUACGUAGCCGACCUGAGAGGGUGAUCGGCCACACUGGGACUGAGACACGGCCCAGACUCCUACGGGAGGCAGCAGUAGGGAAUCUUCCGCAAUGGACGAAAGUCUGACGGAGCAACGCCGCGUGAGUGAAGAAGGUUUUCGGAUCGUAAAACUCUGUUGUUAAAGAAGAACAAGGAUGAGAGUAACUGCUCAUCCCCUGACGGUAUUUAACCAGAAAGCCACGGCUAACUACGUGCCAGCAGCCGCGGUAAUACGUAGGUGGCAAGCGUUGUCCGGAUUUAUUGGGCGUAAAGCGAGCGCAGGCGGUUCUUUAAGUCUGAUGUGAGAGCCCCCGGCUCAACCGGGGAGGGUCAUUGGAAACUGGAGAACUUGAGUGCAGAAGAGGAGAGUGGAAUUCCACGUGUAGCGGUGAAAUGCGUAGAUAUGUGGAGGAACACCAGUGGCGAAGGCGACUCUCUGGUCUGUAACUGACGCUGAGGCUCGAAAGCGUGGGGAGCAAACAGG
This 771-nucleotide ribosomal RNA is filed under the name uncultured Vagococcus sp. Its description in RNAcentral is "bacterial SSU rRNA". It matches the Rfam family "Bacterial small subunit ribosomal RNA", at positions 28 to 776 of the family's 1533-position model. The record is from RNAcentral. Lineage: Bacteria; Bacillati; Bacillota; Bacilli; Lactobacillales; Enterococcaceae.